RNAcentral lists this ribosomal RNA (120 nucleotides) under uncultured bacterium. RNAcentral's name for it is "partial 16S ribosomal RNA". It matches the Rfam family "Bacterial small subunit ribosomal RNA", at positions 796 to 914 of the family's 1533-position model. The record is from RNAcentral.
CACGCCCUAAACGAUGUCAACUAGUCGUUCGGAGCAGCAAUGCACUGAGUGACGCAGCUAACGCGUGAAGUUGACCGCCUGGGGACUACGGCCGCAAGGCUAAAACUCAAAGGAAUUGAC